GAAUGUGUUCCAGUAUAUGUCAAAAACAUAAUUUAAACAUUUCAUGCUAACAAUCUUGAAUAUUUUAAAAUGUCAUCUUAUAUGAUAGCAAUAAAUUAUUAUUAGGAUCUUUGUUUGAUUAGUUUUAUGUUUGAUAAACUAUUAAUAGGGAAAAAACAAAGAGAACUACAUGAUAUCUUGCAUAUUUACAUUGUUUUAUCCAUUCAUCCAUGAGCAUUUUCAUCAUAUAGAUUAGGAUUUAGCCAUGUCUAGGUUGCAUUUUGCAUUCAUUGUCCUUAUUAGGUGCUGG
RNAcentral lists this long non-coding RNA (289 nucleotides) under Brassica rapa (field mustard). Its description in RNAcentral is "long non-coding RNA (BRAP_LNC004106)". The record is from RNAcentral. Lineage: Eukaryota; Viridiplantae; Streptophyta; Magnoliopsida; Brassicales; Brassicaceae.